This 396-nucleotide ribosomal RNA is filed under the name bacterium enrichment culture. RNAcentral describes it as "bacterial SSU rRNA". It matches the Rfam family "Bacterial small subunit ribosomal RNA", at positions 521 to 916 of the family's 1533-position model. The record is from RNAcentral.
UAAUACGUAGGGUGCGAGCGUUAAUCGGAAUUACUGGGCGUAAAGCGUGCGCAGGCGGUUUUGUAAGCCAGAUGUGAAAUCCCCGGGCUCAACCUGGGAAUGGCAUUUGGGACUGCAAGGCUGGAGUGUGGCAGAGGGGACUAGAAUUCCUGGUGUAGCAGUGAAAUGCGUAGAUAUCAGGAGGAAUACCGAUGGCGAAGGCAGGUCCCUGGGUUAACACUGACGCUCAUGCACGAAAGCGUGGGGAGCAAACAGGAUUAGAUACCCUGGUAGUCCACGCCCUAAACGAUGUCGACUGGUUGUUGGGGGUUUGACACUCUCAGUAACGAAGCUAACGCGUGAAGUCGACCGCCUGGGGAGUACGGCCGCAAGGUUAAAACUCAAAUGAAUUGACGG